Molecule: long non-coding RNA, 1122 nt
Filed under: Sorghum bicolor (sorghum)
Lineage: Eukaryota; Viridiplantae; Streptophyta; Magnoliopsida; Poales; Poaceae
Description: long non-coding RNA (SBIC_LNC018420)
Source: RNAcentral
UCACUCAUGAUAUCUCUCACCUUACAUGUGCUGAUUUUCUCCGGGCUCCUGGGGUCCAGACACCUGUUAUUGUCCGGUUCUCUACAGUUGUGCAUGAGCGUGGAAGCCCCGAGACCUUGAGGGAUCCACGUGGUUUUGCUGUCAAGUUCUACACCAGAGAGGUACUGAGGAUAAAUUCUAACUUGCCUCCUAGGGGGAAUAUAUAUACAUCUUAACUGUUCUAUUUUUUGUUAUGUCUUAAAAAGGAACAUUCUUUUUAGAACUGUUGUGAGAUGACACAUCUUGGCAACAUUUUUCUGUCAAUGUAAAGGUUUAGCUGAUUUCAACUAUUGCUUGGUAACUUGAUGUGUACUUUAGCCAUGUAGAUGAUGUCCUUGGCAUGAGCUGUUAUUCAGAUGAACUGAUAGCUCUAUAUUCUUUUACUCAUUGGAAUGAACUGUAUCUUUUUUUUUCCUUAGUUGAAAGCUACCUCCUGUUUAAGUUGACCUUUUACAUUGUCAUGAUGAACUUUUAUGAAAUUAAAUUCUGAUUACCUAUUUGUGACACAGAUACAAGUGUCUUUUGCUUAAAAGAACAAUACAAUGUGGCUCCAUAAUGUGCACAUGGAUAAUCACAGAUUCUCUCAGCAGAAACAGUAAAAUCAAAGAUAUUUCAUAACUGAGUCCAUCUCUGUCCAGUUUCACCUACAGAUUGCUGUGCUGUUUGUUUACCUUUUUUUAACAAUUUUUGACGCCUUAUAUAGUGACCCCGACACUUUAUAUUGAGCUUUUUAUAUCCAAAGGAAUAGUAUCUUAUGAUUUUCUCCGUGCCUUUUUCAGGGUAACUUUGACCUUGUGGGUAACAACAUGCCUGUGUUUUUCAUACGAGAUGGGAUGAAAUUCCCUGAUAUGGUCCAUGCUUUCAAGCCAAACCCAAAGACCAAUUUGCAGGAGAACUGGAGAAUAGUAGAUUUCUUCUCUCACCACCCAGAGAGCCUGCACAUGUUCACCUUCCUCUUUGAUGAUGUUGGCAUCCCACUCAACUACAGGCACAUGGAGGGCUUUGGUGUCAAUACCUACACCUUGAUCAACAGGGAUGGAAAGCCUCACCUUGUGAAAUUCCAUUGGAAGCCUACUUGUGGCG